Hordeum vulgare subsp. vulgare (domesticated barley) is the source of this 136-nucleotide non-coding RNA. The record is from Rfam. NCBI's taxonomy places the organism in Eukaryota, Viridiplantae, Streptophyta, Magnoliopsida, Poales, Poaceae.
UACAUACUCCCUCCAUCCCAAAAUUCUUGUCUUAGAUUUGUCUAGAUAUGUAUGUAUCUAGUCACGCUUUAGUAUUUAUAUAUACUUAUUUCUAUACAAAACUAAGACAAGAAUUUUGGGACGGAGGGAGUAUGAU